GACGAACCGUGCGAACGUUGUUCGGAAUCACUGGGCUUAAAGGGCGCGUAGGUGGUGAGGUAAGUCGGAUGUGAAAUCUCCAGGCUCAACCUGGAAACUGCAUUGGAAACUACCUUGCUGGAGGAUUUGAGGGGGGAUUGGAAUACUUGGUGUAGCAGUGAAAUGCGUAGAUAUCAAGUGGAACACCAGUGGCGAAGGCGAGUCUCUGGACGACUCCUGACACUGAGGCACGAAAGCUAGGGGAGCAAACAGG
RNAcentral lists this ribosomal RNA (253 nucleotides) under uncultured bacterium. RNAcentral's name for it is "partial 16S ribosomal RNA". It matches the Rfam family "Bacterial small subunit ribosomal RNA", at positions 524 to 776 of the family's 1533-position model. The record is from RNAcentral.